GUUGCUUCCGCCUCCCGGGGCGCAGGCGCUGGGCGCGGCGGGGAAGGGACUCGGCACUGGGGAAACCCGGAGUUUCAGCCAGGGUCCCAGGGCUUCCUUCCCGGGUUCCUGCCGGAAAACUUUUCUCCUCCGCCCGGAAGCCUCGAUGGGGCAGUGAGAUCGCGGGGCGAGCUGCGACAGCAGAAGACACUUAGGCGGCCUGAGGGGUUGGUGAACCACAGAGGAGCUCAGCUUCGCCUGGUCUCCAGCUCCCGGUGGCGGUGGCGUGUCCUUAAUGCUGCUGGCUUUGAACUGGACUGAGAACUAUUUACCACACAAACACCACCAUUUCAAUCCCGGAGAAUGCCUGUUUUCCCUAGGGUGACCUGGCCGGGGUAACAAACACUUGUUCUCUAAUUCCACGGUCAGCCUUGACUUAAUUGAGGUACUUGAUUUCCAACUUCCUGUCUUGCUGCCACAGAUAAUCACUGAUGAAACCAAACAGGCAACACCUUUUGGUGGCCUGUGGAGAGCGCUGCCCCGUCUGGGUCUUAGGAAGGCAAUUGAAUAUGAAUGUUCUCCCGAGUGCUUGUGGAAAAGAGAUGGUGUUGGCCACUUUUUAGACGAAGAGAAAUGAGUACUAGUGAACACUAAUCAUAGUGACUAAACAGUAAACGGCUCCCAUUUGUUGUCGGCUAAAGCACUGAUUCUUCAUUUUCCAUCCCAGCCUGUCCUGCUCUGGCCUGCCCUGUGCUCAGGAAGCUGGCGGUCCCCCUCAGUGGAUCUUCACCCACAGGGACAACCUGCUGCAGACCGGGUAGGAGGGAGGCAGGGGCCUCUUCCCCUCUCCUUCCUGGCCUGGCCCCACACCCACCAGUGUUGGUUUCACUCUGUGGCUACGAUUCUUCCUGGGUGCCCUUUCCAUUGCACAACUC
This 914-nucleotide long non-coding RNA is filed under the name Homo sapiens (human). RNAcentral describes it as "non-protein coding lnc-TUBGCP3-1:11". Lineage: Eukaryota; Metazoa; Chordata; Mammalia; Primates; Hominidae. The record is from RNAcentral.